ACGUCCUUUUAUUUCUCUCCCCCCAAUUCCCUUUUUUUUUCUCGAUUCCACUUUCUUUCUCAGCCAUUCUCAGCCUGUACUUCUGUUUCUCUCUCUCGAUUCCCUUUUCUUUCCCAAUUCCCUUUUCUUUCUCAACCUUUCUCAACCUAUUCUUCUAUUUUAUACCCGAAAAACUUGAUUAGUCUCUCAUUUUUGUUUUUAAUAGGUAAGAGGUAAGCCUAAGCUCUCAUCUCUUCGACUUAGGGUUUAUUGUUUAUCCUCCUCUUAUCAAUUGCUUUGAUUCUUUCCUAAAAUUUCAUCAUUCUCACGCUUUUUAAUGGUGCAUUUCUCAAUUCUUAUCCUCCCUUAUGAUUUCUCGGUUUUCCCCUUAUCUUAUGUUGAAUCUAUCUACUUCUUCUCUUUAUUCGUUUAUUAAUUUAACCGUAAGAAAUAGUUUGCCUCCGAUUUAGAAACAUUGCAUUUCGAGAUCUCAAUUCUUCAAUCCCCGAAAGACAGCUAUCAGUGGACUACUUUUAUCGACUUUGGAUGAUCCUAAUACAAAACUUUGCAUAGUAAUCAGUAUGGCUGUAGCAGCUAUUACAGUCUACGACUGGCCAGAAAGUUAACAAGACUUGUUGCCGUUCCUCUUAAAGUUGAUUGGUGAUCAAACUAGCUUGAAUGGAGGUAACCGAGACUCCAUUUAACAAUUUUCUUUAUUGCUGGAACAAGUCUUAACCAAGAUCAAGAUCAAAGUACUUCACUAAGUUAUAUAUGCAGGCAUUGCAAUACUUUGGCUUCAUCUAAGCUUGAACCAGCCCUCUACUGUAUAUUGUUUCUUCUUCUUUUCUGAUCUUUUUCCUUUGAUUAAUGAGAGGUGAUGAUGAUUUGGCAUUCUUUUCUCACUAGGAUGAAUUUUGUUUUAGAAAUUGUAAUACUUUGUGUCUGUGUGUGGUUUUUUUAUAUAUUAAAUUACAUAUUGAAUCAUUGUUUAUGUAUUAAAUUUAAAUUCAUUAAUUUUUAUAUUUAGUUUUGAAGUUUAAAUUUUAAUGAAAA
Molecule: long non-coding RNA, 1032 nt
Organism: Gossypium arboreum
Lineage: Eukaryota; Viridiplantae; Streptophyta; Magnoliopsida; Malvales; Malvaceae
Exons: 3
Source: RefSeq, a predicted model, not a curated record